Molecule: long non-coding RNA, 1338 nt
Filed under: Falco tinnunculus (common kestrel)
Lineage: Eukaryota; Metazoa; Chordata; Aves; Falconiformes; Falconidae
Description: lncRNA (ENSFTIG00000015043.1)
Source: RNAcentral
AUGGAGCGGCCCGGGGGAGGAGCGGCGGCGCGGCCCCCCGGGGCGAGGAGGCACGCUCCGGGCCGCCCCGCCCGCCGCCCCUCCCCGCGCUGCGGCCACCGCACCCGCCCGCCGCGGGGACACCGAGCGCCUCGCCGGCCGCCUUUGUCAUGGCGGCUGGGCUCCGGAGCCCAGCCCACUUCAGCGCGCCUUAAUCCCGCUCACCUCCGCCCAGCGCCGGGGGCGGCGGCGGAGGAGGAUGCCGCGUCCCCGCCCUGGCAGCGGCCGGACGAGGGGACAGCCCGCGGGGGACGGGGCGCGCGGGGGAGGGGGGGUGGCACGGGGGACACUCCCCUCCUGCCCCGGGGGAGCCGCCGCUGCCGCCCGGACCCCUCGGCCGGGGCGGAGGAGGUUGGGGGGGGGGGCUGGGCGGAGGGGAGGGAAGCGAGCCCGACCGAGGGGCGGCCCCUGCGGCUCUUCCGCGCCCGGGCAGCGCUCCCGGCGGGAGACCACACCCAGCGGCACCCGCCCGCGGCCCGCGCGCCGGGCCCCUGCCCCCGCCCGGCGGAGGCGGCGCCCCCCCCUCCGCGCCCACGGGCGCCGGGUCGCCCCCGCCCGCCGCGCCACGGGCGGGGCCCUCACCUGCCGCCCCCUCCCCCCGCCCCGCCGCCCCCGGCCGCUCUUCCCCUCCCCCUCCCCUCCUCGCCGGCGGGGAGGGGCAGCCGCGGCCUCACCUGCGCGGCCCCCGCCGCCCCCCGCAGCGGCCCCCGCGGGACGGGCCGCUCCCGCCGCCCUGCUCCCUCCCCGCGGAGCCACCCCGCCGGCCCCGGAGGCAGGGGGGCGGGUAGGGAGGGCUCGGCGCUGCCCGCCGGCCGCCCGAUCGGCCGGCCGGCCGGCCGCCCUCGCGCGGCCCCCCCACCCCACCCCACCCCCCCGGGGGCGGAGGGCGAGGUCCCGGGGCGGCCGCCCGGCGCGGGGCCCGGAGGCGGGGCGGCGCGGCGGGCCCCGUUACCUGUGCGCGGCGGGAGCGCGGCGGCGGGUGUCUCGGGGCGGGUGGCCGGCGCGGACUGUGCCUGUCUCGCGGCUCGCUGCGCUGCAGCCUCUCUCCCAGCGCCACACACGGCGUCUCCGCCAAUCACCGCGCCGCAGCGCACGGGCAGCGCACCGCCCGUGACGUCAAGCGGGGCCAUGGCAACGGCGAGGGCGCGAGCACGAGCCCGCGCCUCCCCCGGCGCGCCACAGGGUGGAGGCCUCGCCAACAGCCGCGGGCGCCGGCGGCGCGCGGGCCGGCGGGACACGCCUAGAGGUGGCGGCCCCGCCCGCGGGCGCGCGCCUUCUCCUUCCCCCGCCCCUCCCUGA